Molecule: long non-coding RNA, 11326 nt
Organism: Symphalangus syndactylus (siamang)
Lineage: Eukaryota; Metazoa; Chordata; Mammalia; Primates; Hylobatidae
Source: RefSeq, a predicted model, not a curated record
GGUCUUUGUUUUGUUUUGUUUUGUAAAUUGUUAGAGAUUGUUCUAUUAAUAGUUUCCUUUUGUAAUGGUAAUCUGUGCUCCAAAAUGAGGGCACACUAAAAUGAAUUUCUGAUAAUUUAUAAAGCAGUGAAAUACAAAUAAAUUUCUAGAAACUUACUAAUGACAGUAAGAAAAUGAGUACCAAGAGUUUCAAAAUUAAAAAUAAAAAUCUUUUUAAUAUUAUGUUGAAUUAGAACAUCUUUUUAAAAACCAAACGUAAAUGAAAAGAGAUUAAAUUGGUACACUCAACUCUCUAAACUGUGUGUAUAUUUUUCUUAAAGUGCAUAUCCAUGAGCUGACAGUAAAGACAGGCUGGCUGCUUUGUUUGACUAUAGUUCUGUUUACCUCAUACUGUCAAGAAUGGAUUUUGACACAGUAUUAAUAUUGCUAUUUUUAUUGAUAUAAUUAGCACUGCUAUAAAUAAUUUCUUGGGCUGCCAUAUGUAAGUAUAUCAUUACAAUCAGCAGUAUUUAGUGCUUCUUCUUCUUAUAUGACACCUUGAAAACAGACUGUUGGCCCAAAGAACAAAAGUGACCUCAUGAUAUGGGAAUCACUGAAAAAAACAUUGCCCUGUCAAUAGAGACUACUGUUUUGUGUAUGACUUCACUAAACAAACUAGUUUAUAUUUGUUUGAAACUAAAGUUUCUCACCAAUCUGCUGUUUCAAUUUCACAUCACACCAUAUUGUACCUAAAACAGGCAAUCUGGAUUCCUGUUGCUACUUUUUCUUCCCCCAAACAGCUCAGGAAUGGGUUUGAAAUACAAGGCUUGAAUAUAUAAAGCAAAAUAAUUAAGACACCCAAAAUUCAGAAUGGGUAGGUGAAAACAAGUACACUUGAAACCAUUUGUGUAACUACUAGUGGGUGGCCCACUGUGAGUUUUUGAUUAUAUGAAAGCAAAAUCAAAACAUAUUUUAUCUUGCCUCUAGAUCACAUCAGCUGUGACAAUAACCUUAUCUGGACCUUGAAUAGUUUGUUCAUAAAACAAAGUAGGGUGACUGACCCAGUGCAUAUUCAACACAGAGUAUGAAGGCCAAAAGAAAAUGACAAUACAAUUCAAAACAAGUUUGUGGAAAUUUUAGACUAGUAUAUUAAAACCUUUCUUUGUCUCUAUCACUUGACAGAUGGUUAGCCUUCACACAGCCUAGUAUCUCUGGCAAAGAAAUGACUGUGUCUAGCCAAUAACACCCCAAAUUUUGACUUAAAAUGCACUGUACACAUGCUUAGACUUACCUUACAAAUAUGAAUAUUAAUAAACUUAGUCAUGCUUACUUUAUUACUAUAAAAAUUUGAUAGAUGUCAAGAUUUCAUCUUCUGCCGUUAAGAAUACCUUCUUGAAACUCAACUAUUUUAGGUGGAUAUAAGGUUCUAUGAACUCUGCACUUCAGAUUUCAUUCAUUUCACAGGUUGGCUGGUAAUCAUGCUUAAAAAAAAUACUUCCAAAAUAACAUUUCAUCCCAAAAAUAUUAUAAAAUUUAUAGAAAUUUAAUUAGCUUGUGUUUCUAUGCUAUCCAUAGGAAAGUUUUGGUAACAAAGUGGCUUAAACAAAAUCACCAGGGAACCCUGAAUACACUCCAUGUCAAGGACCACAGGCAGGACUGGAAUUAUUUAUCCAGUACUGAUAUGUCUUUAUUCAAAAACUGCUCAUUGAUAAAUAUAUACUCACACACACAUGCAAACACACAUCGAUCAACCAUCCUUACCAGAAAACAGGAAACGGUCUUACUUUUUAACAUUCUAUUAGCCAUUCUUCCAUUUUGCUCUUUAAAAAAAAAUUCAACUGAGGCUGGGCGCGGUGGCUCACACCUGUAAUCCUAGCUCUUUGGGAGGCCGAGGCAGGCAGAUCACAAGGUCAGGAGAUCAAGACCAUCCUGGCCAACAUGGUGAAACCCUGUAUCUACUAAAAAUAACAAAAAAAAUUAGCAGGGCGUGGCUGUGUGCGCCUGUAGUCCCAGCUACUCAGGAGGCUGAGGCAGGAGAAUUGCUUGAAUCUGGGAGGCGGGGCUGCAGUGAGCCAAGAUUGUGCCACUGCACUCCAGCCUGGCGACAGAGCAAGACUCCAUCAAAAACAAACAAACAAACAAACAAAAAAACCAAAAAAAUUCAACUGAAACAAUGUAUUCCAUUAGUUAUAAAGUCUGUUUCGUCCUAAAUCUUCCUAUUUAUAGCUUUCAGAUGCUGGCAAGUCUGUAUACAAAUAGCCAGAGGCAAUCACAAACUGCUCUAAAGUGCAUUAAUAUGUACCCUUCCUGGAAGAGGCUGAUUAUGUUCCAAAUUAGCAUAAAUAGAGAUCUAAUGUAGGUAUAAGCGUGACAAACCCUCCAUGGCACAGGAUGGGAGGACUGGGGGAGGGAGGAUUGUACUAAAAAAAGUUAUUCCACUUAAGAACUAAACUUGUAUUUGGCUAACAAAGUAAGACUCACCAUGACAGAUGGGAAAAAAAAUUAAAAACUGUUAUUUGAGAACUAUGAACUAGGUUUUGGAAAGGUGAGACACCCACUACUUGAAGUCACAAACUCAACAUUAAAUCAUAUACUCAUUUAACCAGGUACCAACUUUCCUUCUGUUAGAAACUCAGGAUUUUUACACCUACAGGCUAAAUGAUUAAAGUAUUACUAAAAUCUUCUGUAAUGUUCCUCUUGCAUUACAAAUAAGUCUAUUAAAGCAGAAAAGUGCCAGUCAAAUGCUUUUGAAAAAAUAGUUUAAAUAACAAAGCAUUUUUUGCAGGUCUCUCCUCUUUAAUGUCGCCUAUAAACUAAUUACAAUAAAUUUUCACCUUCUCUUGAUAAAAUCACAACUGAAACUAGGCAUGGUGGCAUGCACCUGUAGUCCCAGCUACUAGGAGGCUGAGACAGGAAGGCGGAUCACUUGAGCCCAGGAGUUAAAGUACAGCCUGGGCAAUAAAAGGAGAUUCCCAUCUCAAAAAACAAAAAAGAAACCCAGAACUGAAAAAGAUUUAGGUACUUGAUUUUUCAGAUAUGUUCCUAAAAACAAAUCCUAACCAAAAAUUAACAGAUAUUCUAGCUUUUGUUUUACCAUACUUUGCUAACAAGAUAAUACUAUGUAGGAAUUUUAUAGUAAAUUUCAAGAUACAAGAUUUUUCUAAUAUAAAGCAACAUUUUAUUUAUUUCAAAGACAUUAUUAAAAUCAUGAAAAAAAAUCCCUAUCUGUUAAAAAUUACCAACUGAAAUAUAUGGAGAAAGUUUCAUGACAAUAACAAAAGGUACAAAUAAGAAAUAAACUAAGAUCUUCCUUUCCUAUCACUGCCAACUGGUAAACACCUUCCUCCUUCUCAAACUUCUGUAAGCUCUUUCAAACUGUAGUUCCUAAAACAAGAAAGCAGCUAGGUUUUAAAGUUUCAUUAAAAAAUCUCCCCCCCUAACAAUCUAAAAUGCACAAAGUGUGUUUGACAUUAGAAUGUAAGCUCCACAAGGGCAGGCAAUUUUCUCUCUUGUUCAUUAUUACACUCCAAGUGUCUAGAACAAUAUGAUAAAUUUAACCAUCCAUUUCAGAAAAAUAUGAUUAUUUCAGAGACUAAAGCAAAGCCCAUCAAUCUCUACUUCUGUAUUCCAAAUGUUUUAAAGAAGUCUCUGCUUGCCACUGAUUCUGUAAAGUUAUUCAAAUAAUAUGUAAUUAUUUUAUAAAUUAUAGAUCGCAGGAAAUUAGUUGUAGCUUUUAUUGCCCUUCUAAAACGACCUAAUUAUUCAGACUGGCCUUUUUUUCUAGAAAGUCCAAUUUACCUAAUUAUUCAGACUAGCCUUUUUACUACAAAGUACAAUUUGUCUAAAAAGUCUUCUGAAAACUUUCACUAAUGCAACAAAAAUAAUUGACUUAAAAUACUUUUUCCUUAGAUUUUCUUCCUAUACCAAGUAGUCAAAUUCUUAUUAACAGGACAACAAGAGGAAUUAGAUAUUUGCGGGUCUCAAAAACUUUCUGAUCCAAUUAUAUAAGAAACUGGCAUCACAUCAGCUGAUAGUUCUAAACACCCCCUUCCCCAAUUAUAGCCCUCACAUGAAAGUUUCUCUUUCCUCUAGUAUUCCAUUUAAUCUCAUAUUUUCUUUUAGUAGCUAGUCAAUGUACACAUGACCUAUAUGCGCAUUUUCUUGGUUUUGUAGUAAUCUUAAAACACGGGCCUAGAUGGGUAAGCAUAAAGACUUCUUCCUGGAAAUGCAUAAAAUUUGACAAUUUUUAAUCUGAUACUUUCUUUAGCUUGUUAAAAUUAGGACCUCACCGUGAAAGGGCAUAUUGCUGUGGAGGCUGGUAGCCAGCAAACUUGUCACCUGAUCUUCAUAUGCACAAGGCCUGUAUUCCACUGGUCUAUAAAAUCUGAAAUCAUAAAACCAAAAAUAUCCAAUUGCCCAACUCACUGAGCAGCUAAUAUAGUUCUAGAAAUCUCACUUUUCUUCUUCUCACCUGUUUACUUCAACACCGUGUCCCCAAACCUAAGGCCCUCCAAAAUUGAGCUCCAUAAAAAUCACAACCCCAAUCUUGAAAAUUAAGCCUUGAGUACUGAAUAGUUACAUCAACAAUUCCUUAAAGGCAAUUUCAAAUGCUUUCCUGGGAGACUACUGGAAAGAUGGCACAGGGAUAUCACCAUGCACUAUGUGUGCAACAACUUUGAUAUAUUCUAAGAAUCACAAAGAACAAAGGCAUGAAAAUCAAUGUAUUUUUUUUCUUUCAUUAGAAAAAUACAGAUUCUUCAUUUUAAAGCAAAAACAUAAAAAGUAGCCACAUCUUGACUGGGCAAACUUACAGUUGACCUUCAGUAUCCAUGGGAGAUUGGUUCUGGGACCUCUCUAGGAAACCGAAAUCCACAGAUGCUCAAGUCCCUUACAUAAAAUAGUGUAGUAUUUGCAUUUUACCUAAGCACAUUCUCCCAUAUACUUUAAAUCAUCUCUAGGUUACUUAUAAUACCUUAAUACAAGUAAAUGCUAUGUAUUAAUAAAUCAUUGUUACACUGUAUUGUUUAGGGAAUUGUGGCAAGAAAAAAAUCUAUAUAUAUUCUAUUCCAUCUAUUCCCCCACACCCAAAAUAUUUUUGAUCUGCUGUUGGUUAAAUCCACAGAUGCAGAACAUAGGCACAGGAAGGGCUGACUGUAUGUGACUGGGAGUGGAGGGGGAUCUAUAUAAAUAUUUCCACAAGAUAGCCAAGGGUACUUGGGAUUGGGAGCAUGAACAGAAAUGAAAACAAACCAUUAUAAAUUUAAGGAUGACUGGUUAUCACUUAAAUUCAGGGUCUACAGCUAUUUUAUUUAUAAAAUGGUAAUUGUUUUAAAAUUUUCAAUGGCAACAAGUUACAACAGUAACUUCAGAAUAGCGUUCCCUUGAAAACACUGGGUGAAUGGCCCCUAUAAUUUUUUUAGCUGAAAUGUAUACACCGCCAUGCAGUGAGGAAACUUUACUUUAGCACCAGUUUGGUAUUUUUAAUAGAAAAAACAGUGGAGAAGAUUUUCACAUGUCUAGAAAGGUAACAUGUUCAACUUAGGUUUGGCCAAUGCUGAUUCUGAGGACAGUACUACACCCGCAAGCUUCCAAACUACUUCCUGAUUCAUUCAGAUUUUUACUGGAGAGCUGUCAUCCUGCUACUGACCUCAUUCAACCCGGUUCCGAGUGAGAGAUCAGCGGAUUACGGCGCUAGGUACCGUAGCUGUACGCCAUAUUGUGUUUUUCGCUAAUGUUUAUAGUUUGUGUGUGUGCCUAGCAUAUGUUUCUGCAAGUGUGUUUAUCAAUAGAACUUUUAGAAAAUCCCUGCCUCCUGCCUCUUCAGCAUCCUUAAAAAGGGUAACAGCUGGGGGCGGGGGGGUGGGGGGAGGACCCAAAAGCCACACAGACAGGAAUGCAUUAAACAAUGUACGAGAGACGGCAUUUGUUUUAAACUUUCAAGAACCUUCCAACCAUUUUUAUAUCAGGAAUCAAAAAGUGUUAACAUGUUUUAAUGUUUCCAAAGUGGCCCAAAGGAGAAGAGAAAGAAGGAAAGGUGUGUCUUCCCUUCCCAAGCCCCCUCCUCUCUAGUCGUAGAAGCGAAGCAGGCGGGGGCCGGGAGCUCCGGCGUCUGGAGAGGCAUCCAGCGGCUGUGGGGCCAGGACACCUCCUGCCCCCCAGUUCUCUGAAGACGCUCCAGAGACCGCGAGAGCCACGGCAAGCGGGGGAGAGCGAGGAGGGAGGGGACAGAAGACAAGCGGGCGCCUCUAGCAGCUCCUGAGCCCCGGCUAGUCCCCCUCAGCUCCUCUUCUUGGAAGCAGCGGCUCCAGGCGCAGGGAGUAGAGAGAAGAAGGCAGAAGACACGUUUCCAGCUGCGGGACGUCCCGCCCGCCCCGCCCCGCCACCCGCCGACCCUCCCGCGCCUCCCUCCCGCCUCCCCGCCGGGUAGGGCGAGGCAGCCGCCAGGCGCUAAGAGGGGCGCCGGGGGAGGGGGCGCGGACGGGGCGCGGCGCGGGGGCGCGCGCGCUCGUCCAGCUCAAGGCCCGCCGGCUCGCCGCUCUUGAUCCGGGAGGUGGAAGGCUAUUGGCUCAGGGAGCCCGUCAGACCGGACUGGAGUGAGCCGUGAUUGGUCGACACAGGCGCAAUCAAGAUGGAGUCUUGCUGUGUCGCCAGGCUGGAGUGCAGUGGCACUAUCUCACCUCACUGCAACCUCCACCUCCUAGGUUCAAGUGAUUCUCCUGCCUAAGCCUCCCGAGUAGCUGGGAUUACAGUUUUAAUCAUUACACUGUGGUCUGCUUGUCUGACUCCCUUGAUACAACGUGCUGCCCAUUCGUCAGGGCCUGAGAGUGGCAGCAGCAGAGGCCAAGGGAGGUAUGGAGAGGGUAAGAAAACUCUAAGAAAAAAGGAGCUAAAGUUCCUGUAACAAUAAUAGAUGCAUGGAAGAAAAGAAAAGCCUAAAGUAGGAUCCUCCCAUGAAGAAAGCAAAGAGAGGAGAUUUCUUAAAACAAUAACUACAAGGUAAAAAAUGAAGCCACAGGGAUGCCAAACCCCUUUGCCAUAUUGGAAGUUUUAGCCCUUAACACUGGAACCCAGCAAUGCUUUUAACCUUGAUCUACAUAAUCUUUCUUCAUUUCAUGGUUUUGGUGAAAGAGGAAGCCUCAAGCCUCCUUUGAAGCCUGCAAUGUAGUACAAAUAAUAAUCAUCCUAUGGGAACAUAUGGAAUAGGCAUUAACCAGGUAUUAAGGGUGACAGAAUUAAUUUAUUUAAGCCAUUUUCAAACUUUCUCUGUAUUUUUUUAGUCAAUACUAUCAUUUAAAGUAGUGAAUUGGUGAUUUGGGCUGAAUAAUAACUUAAAUUUAGUUUUUCUGACCAGUGGCUGUAUUAUACUCAAUUUAGUCCUGAAAGACCAUUAUAUUUAUUUAUUUGUUUCAUUUUCAAAUCUAGUUCCCAUGGUGGUCCCCUUUUACUGAGAAGAUAAUCAGAUAAUCAUUUCAGAACCACUAAAUUGUACAAACCAGAAACACUACUGACUUAGUCAGGACUCCAUAUUUGCAAGUAGAAGAAACCCAACUCAGAUUAAUUUAAAUAAGAAAGGAUACUGCAUUAAUUUACAAUGAAGAAGGGACCUCCAGUGAUGUCACCAGCAAUCAAUCUAUCCUGCUUUCUUUCCCAGUGCUGCUUUGCUUCACUUUGACUUUAUUCUCAGAGUCAAGAAAACUUUGCUUUUUACUUAUUUACAGCUUGUCGCAAUUGAGUAUACUCCUGUAAACAAAUUUGGAUUUCUCUCUCUCAAUCUGAUUUCUCCCUCUCAAUCUGAUUUCUCCAGAAUGUGGAAACUAUUUGUGAGUAUUCUUAAUUUAUGGCAACAUAGUUAUUUGCAUAAGUGCAAUAAGAAUGUUUUAUUUUGCAACAGGACACUAUUGGAGAAACUGGUUAUUUUACUGGAAUGGUGUGAUUUCCUUUAAGGAAUCAAACUUGAGUUAAAUAGAGCCAAUAAAAACCCCUUGGGAACAAUGGCCUCAUAUCUUGUCUACACAGUCCCUGUAUAGGGUUCCUGACCUGUGGUAAGUAAAGAAUUUCACUUUCUGAUAGGUCCAGGAGAUCCAAGUUAUCUUGGGAUCUCAAGAGGAGAGGAAUUUACCCAGCUCAAAGGCAUUUGAUGGUACAAAGCCAUGACUGAGCUUGACUUUAAAAAAGUCUUAUCUGAGAUUUCUUCUAUGAAACAAAGUUCCAUAAAAAAGCCUAUGUGAAAAUAAUUAUUCUUGCUGUACUUUAUACAAAUAGGCCAAGUAUAAUAAAGUAAAUCAGUCUUACCAUGAUUUGUCUUUAGUAAAAAUAGGAACCUGAAGAGAGAAAAAUUAUGUUUCAAAAAGUAUAGUACACCUGUCAUUAGAUUUUAGACUUGCUUAAUGUUUUUCAAUUUUUAUUAUUUUCUACAGUUGGAAUGAAUUCUAAAAUUUUUCCUGGUGAUGUCUCCAAAAUAAUGUUUUCAAUUUUUUUCAUCUUUAUUUUUCUUUUUUCUCCUAUUUUUCCUAAUUUGAAAUAACUGAAAACUAAGCUGUGCUUUCUUAAAGCCCUAUGAACUAAAGGUAGACAACUUAAGCUUCAGAAGAAAAUAACAGCAACCUAUUUACAUACAUAAGCCACUUUCAUAACUGCCUACUGAUAAUAUGGACUUCACAGUAAUAUGGCCUGUAUUGAUUUUCUAGGAUUUUUCUUUUUUGUUUGUUGUUGUUUUUCUCCCUUCCUCCCCCUAUUUUCUCUUCAUAGGACAUGAGACUUCACAACCUGCUAAAAAUGAGCUUUUCUAAUAAUGUGGGACUUACUCUUCUACAAAUAAACCAUCCUAGCCAUGAGAGAUCAGAUAAAGUCUGAGAGCAGAGACUCACUUUCUUCUAAAAUGAUUUCUCCAGAGGAUUUUAAAAAGAAAAGGGUUAAAAUGUGAAAGGAAAAUAAAUCUUGGGACCCCCAAAUCUCUAAGCUAAAGGGAAAAGUCAAGAUGGGAACUGCUUAGGGCAAACCUGCCCCCCAUUCUUUUCAAAGUCAUCCUUCUGCUCACUAAGAUAAAUGCAUAUCUUACUGCUUCCUUUGGAAAUGCUAAUCAGAAACUCAGAAGAAUGCAACCAUUUGGUUUUUCUCUUAUCUACCUAUGACCGGGAAGCACCCUUCCCACUUCAAGUUGUCCUGCCUUUCUGGACUAAACCAAUGUACAUCUUACAUACACUGAUUGAUGUCUCAUGUCUCCAUAAAAUGUAUAAAACUAAGCUGUGCCCCGACCCCCUUGGGCACAUGUUGUCAGGACCAGGACCUUGUGAGGCUGUAUUAGGGGCAUGUGUCCCUGACUUUGGCAAAAUAAACUUUCUGAAUUGACUGAGACCUGUCUUAGAUAUUUGGGGUUCAUACCCCCUUGGUACUGUGUAGUCAAUGAGUUCUCAGAAGAUCUGGUUGUUUAAAAGUGUAUGGCACCUCCUACUUCUCUCUCUUCUUCUUGAUCUGGCCAUAUAAGACAUGCCUGCUUCUCCUUGGCCUUCCACCAUGAUUGUAAGUUUCCUGAGGCCUCUCCAGAAGCCAAGCAGAUGCCAGAGUCAUGCUUCCUGCACAGCCUGUGGAACUGUGAGCCAAUUAAACUUCUUUUAUUUAUAAAUUACCCAGCCUCAGGUAUUGCUUUAUAGCAGUGCAAGAAUGGACUAAUACAAGUGUUAUAUUGAGUAGGUAAAAAUCAAUACGAUUUAGCAGUUGGACUUAGAGACACAGGAGCUGGGGAGACUUUUUUAAAGAGGUGAUUAGAAGAAUAAUAUUGUCAUCAUGGAAAUUAGAAAGUUAGGUUUAUUGGUGAAAAGUUGGUGAAUAGUCUUCUAGAUAUUUUGAGUUUGAUGUACUAAUGAGGAACAAGUGGAGAUCUCCAUCAUGCACUUGGAAAUUUAGGACUGGAGCUGGGAGACAAGUGAGGCCAGAAAUAAAGGUAUGCUCCUUCUGCUCUCAACCCGCCAUGGCCUAAGUGGGAUCAGUAGAAGCCCUGCAAGUAAGUGUCUGGAGUUAGCAAAAUAGCAUGGAAGAACAAACUGAUGCCAGAACCUAUGAACUGAUGGCAUUUAAGGGGUGGGAGGGAAAAAGGCAAAAGCAGAUGUGAAAGGAGAUCAGGAAACUUAGGCAAGUCAAAUAAGAGAAAAUUCUUUCAAGUGUGAACUUCUGUAUAUGACAUUUAUGAUUUAGGUCCAGUUUAUAUCAAGAACUUAAGAAAGAAAAUUGGAAAAAUAAAUAGGGCUUUAUGUAUUUUAGGACUUAUGAUGAUGAUUAUGAUAUAGGAUGAAAAUAAAGUGUGGGCCAGGAGCAGUGGCUCACGCCCUGUAAUCCCAGCACUUUGGCAGGCUGAGGUGGUGGAUCACAGGUCAAGAGAUCUAAAUCAUCCUGGCCAACAUGGUGAAACCCAUCUCUACUAAAAAUACAAAAAUUAGCUGGGUGUGGUGGCACAGGCCUGUAGUCCCAGCUCCUCGGGAGGCUGAGGCAGAAGAAUCACUUGAACCCGGGAGGCAGAGCUUGCAGUGAGCCAAGAUCGUGCCACUGCACUCCAGCCUGGUGACAGAGCGAGAUUCCAUCUCAAAAAAAAAAAAAAAAAAAGAAGAAAAGAAAGUGUGGACAAAACCGACUACAGAUUAAUUCCUACAUAUGCAAUUCCAGAAUUCUUAUGAGACAUGCAUUAGGACAUCAGCAACAGAGACACUAGAAUCCAUCACCUGACAGCUGCGGAGAGCAUAGUUUCUCAUUUGGCUUACUACCAUGCCUGAGACUCCCCGCGAAAGAGACCCAAACAUAUUACCUAAGGAAAUGAGGAGUCACUGAGUGAUAAUGUGAAGUAGAAGAAUUCACAUUCUCAUCUGCACAGUCACCCAGGGGUCUCAUUUUUGAAUCUGGAAUGUGAAAUGGGCUUUGGAAAUAAUUGAAAAAAUGCCCAGUAUGCCCAGUACAAUGCUGGGUGUGGUAAACACAGCAGUCAAAAGGUCUGACCACUGUUGUGUCUUCGCUGUCUUCAUAGAGCUUUCUUACUGAAGCUUCAAGUAAUGUCUCUAAGAAACCUUUUUUUAAGUUAUAAUUUACCUCAAAUUCCCUUCCUUAUAAUAUUUAAUGAAAUGACACAUAAAAUGCAAGGAAAGUGAGUAAAAGAAGAGCAACAUGGUUUCUGAAAGAGAAAAGUAUUUUAUAAGACAUAAAAGCAGAUUCAUGGGGAAGGUCAUCAAUGGUGGCACUGGUGACUAACAUAGGAUCUGAAAUAAUACCAGUGAUAAUUAAAAACAUUUCUUUCUGAGACCUUUCAAAUGCUGAGGAACUCUCCUCUCUUCAGGAGACUUCACAGUGUUUUGUUGAUGACAAA